RNAcentral lists this RNase P RNA (426 nucleotides) under Brucella suis. Its description in RNAcentral is "RNase P RNA component class A". It matches the Rfam family "Bacterial RNase P class A". From Rfam's summary of the family: Ribonuclease P (RNase P) is a ubiquitous endoribonuclease, found in archaea, bacteria and eukarya as well as chloroplasts and mitochondria. Its best characterised activity is the generation of mature 5'-ends of tRNAs by cleaving the 5'-leader elements of precursor-tRNAs. Cellular RNase Ps are ribonucleoproteins. The record is from RNAcentral. Lineage: Bacteria; Pseudomonadati; Pseudomonadota; Alphaproteobacteria; Hyphomicrobiales; Brucellaceae.
UCAGUCGGUCGGGCAGCCGCGCCUGUCAUGUGCCGAAAGGCGGCAGGUGAGGAAAGUCCGGGCUCCAAGGAAACACGAUGCCGGGUAACGCCCGGCGGGGGCGACCCCAGGGAAAGUGCCACAGAAAGCAAACCGCCCCGUCUUCCGUACCGUUUCGGGUAAACGGCAGGGAUGACGGGGUAAGGGUGAAAGGGUGGGGUAAGAGCCCACCGCGCCGGCAGCAAUGCAGGCGGCACGGUAAACCCCAUCGGGAGCAAAACCGAAUAGGGACGGCGCGUCGGCUCGAAAGGGCAGGCAAUCGGUUUCCGGAUCAGCCGUCCGGGUGGGUUGCACGAGGCGGGUGGCGACAUCCGUCCCAGAUGAAUGGCUGCCGCGCCGGGCGCAAGCCCGGCCGUACAGAACCCGGCUUACAGACCGGCUGACUAU